GUUUCUAUUUAAUUUUAUGGUUUGGACAAAUUUUGCAUUAAUAUAAAAAACUCAAAUAAAUUAGUGGUUUGUUCUGACAAACAAAAUCAACGAAAUAUUAGUUAUUUUUGUUUUUUAUUUUGUUAUUUUUUUUUUAAUCAUCCAUUUUUUUACUCUUCCAAUACUGCACAUGCUGUAAGGCCACUUUUUUGUUGUUGCUUUGAAC
RNAcentral lists this long non-coding RNA (205 nucleotides) under Mytilus galloprovincialis (Mediterranean mussel). Lineage: Eukaryota; Metazoa; Mollusca; Bivalvia; Mytilida; Mytilidae. The record is from RNAcentral.